This 304-nucleotide ribosomal RNA is filed under the name uncultured bacterium. Its description in RNAcentral is "bacterial SSU rRNA". It matches the Rfam family "Bacterial small subunit ribosomal RNA", at positions 32 to 349 of the family's 1533-position model. The record is from RNAcentral.
AAUCAACGCUGGCGGCGCGCUUAACACAUGCAAGUCGAACGAGAAAGGGAGCAAUCCUGAGUAAAGUGGCGUACGGGUGAGUAACACGUGGGUAAUCUGCCCUCUGGUGGGAAUAACUCUGGGAACCGGAGCUAUACCGCAUAAGAUCGCGAGAUGAAAGGGCGAAAGUUCGCCGGAGGAGGAGCCCGCGGCUGAUUAGCUAGUUGGUGAGGUAAGAGCUCACCAAGGCUGAGAUCGGUAGCCGGCCUGAGAGGGCACACGGCCACACUGGCACUGAAACACGGGCCAGACUCCUACGGGAGGC